This 66-nucleotide transfer RNA is filed under the name Gromphadorhina portentosa (giant Madagascar hissing cockroach). RNAcentral's name for it is "tRNA-Met". Lineage: Eukaryota; Metazoa; Arthropoda; Insecta; Blattodea; Blaberidae. RNAcentral also lists the same sequence under 1 other name. The record is from RNAcentral.
AGAAAAGUAAGCUAAAUAAGCUAAUGGGUUCAUACCCCAUUUAUAGAGCCACCCCUCUCUCUUCUA